RNAcentral lists this ribosomal RNA (254 nucleotides) under uncultured bacterium. RNAcentral describes it as "partial 16S ribosomal RNA". It matches the Rfam family "Bacterial small subunit ribosomal RNA", at positions 524 to 776 of the family's 1533-position model. The record is from RNAcentral.
UACGUAGGGGGCGAGCGUUGUCCGGAUUCAUUGGGCGUAAAGAGCUCGUAGGCGGCUUGGCAAGUCGGAUGUGAAAACUCCAGGCUCAACCUGGAGCCGCCAUUCGAUACUGCUAUGGCUAGAGUCCGGUAGGGGAGUGUGGAAUUCCCGGUGUAGCGGUGAAAUGCGUAGAUAUCGGAAGGAACAUCAGUGGCGAAAGCGACUUCCUGGACCAAUACUGACGCUCAUGUGCGAAAGCGUGGGGAGCAAACAGG